GAGAGAUAACAAACAUUUCAAGGCUUUUCUUUGUGGAAAAAAAGUAAUUUGUGAAAUUUAUUGGUUUAAAAUCUUAAAUUUUAGAGAGUAAAGUAGAAGUUGCAUAUUCACAAGGUUUUUUUAAAUAUUUUUCUUUUAAAUUAUAUUUCUAAAAGUAUUUAUGUUUAAAUACUUUUAUUAUGUUGUUGGCAUCUUACACGACUGCAUGAUUUAUUUCAUUUGACACCAAAUAACAGGACAGGUUAGAUUUUUUAAGACGAAUAUUAUAUAAAAGUAUAAACAGUAAAUACAAUUAUAACAUUUAUUUUAGGGUAAACAAGUUCAAUCUAUUUAUCUUUCUUUAAUUUAUUAGUUAUAACAAAUUGGUUUGAGAACACAAGAAUAUUGGAAGUCAAGUUUUGAGAAGAGCAUCAAACACUGCCUAGAUCAAGAUCUUAUUAGCAAAGUGUGCAAAAAAAAUGGGGCUUGGCAGGCAACAAAUAUAGAUAUAUCGAGAAGUAUCAAACGUUAGCUCAUGCAAGCAUCAAGUUGGAAUUAUUGUAGAAGUUUAACCUUUCGCUAACCUUAAACUUUUAUAUGUAUUGUAUUGAAAGAAUAUUUUAUUGAAAUAAAAAUAUUUGGUAAUAUAAA
This is a non-coding RNA of Hydra vulgaris (swiftwater hydra), 630 nucleotides long. Lineage: Eukaryota; Metazoa; Cnidaria; Hydrozoa; Anthoathecata; Hydridae. The record is from RefSeq and is a predicted model, not a curated record.